UGCACACCUUUGGGACUAGGCAAGGCCUC
Molecule: non-coding RNA, 29 nt
Filed under: Homo sapiens (human)
Lineage: Eukaryota; Metazoa; Chordata; Mammalia; Primates; Hominidae
Source: RNAcentral